RNAcentral lists this ribosomal RNA (497 nucleotides) under uncultured bacterium. RNAcentral's name for it is "partial 16S ribosomal RNA". It matches the Rfam family "Bacterial small subunit ribosomal RNA", at positions 28 to 507 of the family's 1533-position model. The record is from RNAcentral.
GAUGAACGCUGGCGGCGUGCCUAAUACAUGCAAGUCGAGCGAACGGACGAGAAGCUUGCUUUUCUGAUGUUAGCGGCGGACGGGUGAGUAACACGUGGAUAACCUACCUAUAAGACUGGGAUAACUUCGGGAAACCGGAGCUAAUACCGGAUAAUAUUUUGAACCGCAUGGUUCAAAAGUGAAAGGCGGUCUUGCUGUCACUUAUAGAUGGAUCCGCGCUGCAUUAGCUAGUUGGUAAGGUAACGGCUUACCAAGGCAACGAUGCAUAGCCGACCUGAGAGGGUGAUCGGCCACACUGGAACUGAGACACGGUCCAGACUCCUACGGGAGGCAGCAGUAGGGAAUCUUCCGCAAUGGGCGAAAGCCUGACGGAGCAACGCCGCGUGAGUGAUGAGGGUCUUCGGAUCGUAAAACUCUGUUAUUAGGGAAGAACAUAUGUGUAAGUAACUGUGCACAUCUUGACGGUACCUAAUCAGAAAGCCACGGCUAACUACGUG